UGCGUAGGCGGUUAGAUAAGUCAGAGGUGAAAGCCCGCAGCUCAACUGUGGAAUUGCCUUUGAUACUGUUUGACUUGAAUCAAGUUGAGGUUGGCGGAAUGUGACAUGUAGCGGUGAAAUGCAUAGAUAUGUCAUAGAACAUCAAUUGCGAAGGCAGCUAACUAGACUUGUAUUGACGCUGAGGCACGAAAGCGUGGGGAGCGAACAGGAUUAGAUACCCUGGUAGUCC
RNAcentral lists this ribosomal RNA (229 nucleotides) under uncultured bacterium. RNAcentral's name for it is "partial 16S ribosomal RNA". It matches the Rfam family "Bacterial small subunit ribosomal RNA", at positions 568 to 796 of the family's 1533-position model. The record is from RNAcentral.